RNAcentral lists this ribosomal RNA (1464 nucleotides) under Staphylococcus aureus. Its description in RNAcentral is "partial 23S ribosomal RNA". It matches the Rfam family "Bacterial large subunit ribosomal RNA", at positions 99 to 1561 of the family's 2925-position model. Lineage: Bacteria; Bacillati; Bacillota; Bacilli; Caryophanales; Staphylococcaceae. The record is from RNAcentral.
UUGAUCCAGAGAUUUCCGAAUGGGGAAACCCAGCAUGAGUUAUGUCAUGUUAUCGAUAUGUGAAUACAUAGCAUAUCAGAAGGCACACCCGGAGAACUGAAACAUCUUAGUACCCGGAGGAAGAGAAAGAAAAUUCGAUUCCCUUAGUAGCGGCGAGCGAAACGGGAAGAGCCCAAACCAACAAGCUUGCUUGUUGGGGUUGUAGGACACUCUAUACGGAGUUACAAAGGACGACAUUAGACGAAUCAUCUGGAAAGAUGAAUCAAAGAAGGUAAUAAUCCUGUAGUCGAAAAUGUUGUCUCUCUUGAGUGGAUCCUGAGUACGACGGAGCACGUGAAAUUCCGUCGGAAUCUGGGAGGACCAUCUCCUAAGGCUAAAUACUCUCUAGUGACCGAUAGUGAACCAGUACCGUGAGGGAAAGGUGAAAAGCACCCCGGAAGGGGAGUGAAAUAGAACCUGAAACCGUGUGCUUACAAGUAGUCAGAGCCCGUUAAUGGGUGAUGGCGUGCCUUUUGUAGAAUGAACCGGCGAGUUACGAUUUGAUGCAAGGUUAAGCAGUAAAUGUGGAGCCGUAGCGAAAGCGAGUCUGAAUAGGGCGUUUAGUAUUUGGUCGUAGACCCGAAACCAGGUGAUCUACCCUUGGUCAGGUUGAAGUUCAGGUAACACUGAAUGGAGGACCGAACCGACUUACGUUGAAAAGUGAGCGGAUGAACUGAGGGUAGCGGAGAAAUUCCAAUCGAACCUGGAGAUAGCUGGUUCUCUCCGAAAUAGCUUUAGGGCUAGCCUCAAGUGAUGAUUAUUGGAGGUAGAGCACUGUUUGGACGAGGGGCCCCUCUCGGGUUACCGAAUUCAGACAAACUCCGAAUGCCAAUUAAUUUAACUUGGGAGUCAGAACAUGGGUGAUAAGGUCCGUGUUCGAAAGGGAAACAGCCCAGACCACCAGCUAAGGUCCCAAAAUAUAUGUUAAGUGGAAAAGGAUGUGGCGUUGCCCAGACAACUAGGAUGUUGGCUUAGAAGCAGCCAUCAUUUAAAGAGUGCGUAAUAGCUCACUAGUCGAGUGACACUGCGCCGAAAAUGUACCGGGGCUAAACAUAUUACCGAAGCUGUGGAUUGUCCUUUGGACAAUGGUAGGAGAGCGUUCUAAGGGCGUUGAAGCAUGAUCGUAAGGACAUGUGGAGCGCUUAGAAGUGAGAAUGCCGGUGUGAGUAGCGAAAGACGGGUGAGAAUCCCGUCCACCGAUUGACUAAGGUUUCCAGAGGAAGGCUCGUCCGCUCUGGGUUAGUCGGGUCCUAAGCUGAGGCCGACAGGCGUAGGCGAUGGAUAACAGGUUGAUAUUCCUGUACCACCUAUAAUCGUUUUAAUCGAUGGGGGGACGCAGUAGGAUAGGCGAAGCGUGCGAUUGGAUUGCACGUCUAAGCAGUAAGGCUGAGUAUUAGGCAAAUCCGGUACUCGUUAAGGCUGAGC